Long non-coding RNA from Brassica oleracea var. oleracea, 341 nucleotides. RefSeq lists it as uncharacterized. The record is from RefSeq and is a predicted model, not a curated record. The transcript has 3 exons. Lineage: Eukaryota; Viridiplantae; Streptophyta; Magnoliopsida; Brassicales; Brassicaceae.
GCAAGACUAUGAACAAGAUACUGUUAGAGGCCAAUCCAAGGAUAAACACUCUUCACUGGUAGCUCUAGAGUAGCUGAAAAGCUGGCGCUUGAUCUCAAGGGUCGGAUUAGACUGGAAGAUGCUGGAUUUGAUUGGAAAGUCUUGGGACCAGAUGUUCAGGAGGUUGAUUACGUUGCGUGGGUUUGUGAUCAAGAUGCUUACGCGUGCAGUGGACAGAAGUGUUCUGCUCAGUCUAUGCUAUUCAUGCAUGAGAACUGGGCAAAAACCUCUCUUGUUUCUAAACUAAAAGAUCUUGCCGGAAGACGGAAACUAGAAGACUUGACCAUUGGUCCUGUCCUAAC